GAAAAUCAUGAAAGUACAGAAUGCAACAUAGAGACACAAAAAUCAAGUUCUAUCUUCAUGUUUAUUUAAAAAAAUUUGGGACCAUGUAAAUUGAUAACAUAGAAAUAAAAAGAAUAAAUACUACUAACAAAUCAUAGAAGAGAAAUACCCAUACAAGUCGUGUAAGUAACAGAAACAAGCCAUGGUUGAUUAAAGAAACGCAUUCACAGAUAGCAAGGACACAAAUUGGUAUUAAUAUUUGGAAAACAAACAUAGAUAUUAAUAUUUGGAACACAGGCAUAGAAGGUUCCACUGCAAGCCGAAUUAGCUUCACAACUUUCAAUGACAUUAAUUUUAAGCUGCUAUUC
This 347-nucleotide long non-coding RNA is filed under the name Phaseolus vulgaris (common bean). RNAcentral's name for it is "long non-coding RNA (PVUL_LNC000927)". Lineage: Eukaryota; Viridiplantae; Streptophyta; Magnoliopsida; Fabales; Fabaceae. The record is from RNAcentral.